AUGCGUCACCCCGGCCUUGGGCGGGGGCGGGGCUCCGAGGAGCUCGGUUCAGAUCCCGGCCGCCUGGGCUCCGGGAGCCCCGGAACCAGGAUAAGUUGGAUGGCUGCCGCGGCGAAGCGGGGGGCGGGGUGGACCGUGCCCGGUAUUUUCUAUACGGGUUCCGGGGCCCCGUAGAGGCGCGCCAAGAGAAGAGGGAAGUGCGGCGGCCCUGGAACCUGGAUAUCGCGCGAGAUUUGUGACCCAGAAGGAAAUCUCUGACCUCAGCUGUGGCUCUUGGUGCUGGCCAGAAGCCAACUUCAUGUCUGAGUGCACGAGCAGCAGUUUGCUAUGGAGAGCUUGGGGCUGCAGACGGUGACCCUUAGUGAUGGGACAACAGCCUACGUCCAGCAAGCUGUCAAAGGAGAGAAGCUUCUUGAAGGGCAGGUGAUCCAGCUCGAGGAUGGGACCACCGCAUACAUUCACCAGGUGACAGUACAGAAAGAAGCUCUCUCCUUUGAGGAUGGUCAGCCUGUGCAGCUGGAAGAUGGCAGCAUGGCUUACAUACACCGCACACCCAGAGAAGGCUAUGACCCCAGCGCCCUGGAAGCCGUCCAGCUGGAAGAUGGCUCCACUGCCUACAUUCACCACCCUGUGGCUGUGCCAUCAGACAGCACCAUCCUGGCCGUACAGACAGAGGUGGGCUUGGAGGACCUGGCAGCAGAGGAUGAUGAGGGCUUCAGUGCAGACACAGUGGUGGCCCUGGAGCAGUAUGCCAGCAAGGUUCUUCAUGACAGCCAGAUUCCCCAUAAUGGAAAAGGGCAGCAAGUUGGAGACAGAGCAUUCCGCUGUGGCUACAAGGGCUGUGGGCGUCUCUACACCACCGCUCAUCACUUAAAGGUGCAUGAACGAGCUCAUACAGGUGACCGUCCAUACAGAUGUGACUUCCCCAGCUGUGGAAAGGCCUUUGCCACAGGCUAUGGACUGAAGAGCCACGUUCGUACCCACACUGGUGAGAAACCAUACAAGUGCCCAGAGGAGCUGUGCAGCAAGGCCUUCAAGACCUCAGGAGACCUGCAGAAGCAUGUCCGUACCCACACUGGUGAACGCCCGUUCCGGUGCCCUUUUGAGGGCUGUGGCCGUUCCUUCACCACGUCUAACAUCCGCAAGGUACAUGUGCGCACCCACACAGGCGAGAGGCCCUACACCUGCCCGGAGCCCCACUGUGGCCGCGGCUUCACCAGCGCCACCAACUAUAAGAAUCACGUGCGCAUCCACACAGGUGGGCUAGCUGGCAUGCGAGGACUACCCUCACUCAGGCCCCAACCCCUCUACUGUAGGCUUCCCAUCUAAGACACAUUCCCAACUCCCAGCCCAGAACCCCUCUGUGCCAGCCAUUCCAGGCUGGUCUGGGGGUAGGGUACCCCAGAGCAACUCCUCUUGAAGUGAGCAGUUCCUCCAUUUCCAGUUAGGUCCAAUCUGAAAGGUAUUGCCAGUCCUCUCUGGGGUCCCUCAGCUCCCUACCACCCCUCUACACCCACCCUGAAUUCUCCAACUCUGACUGAACUCCUGAAAAGAGGCCAGGGUCAGGAAUGAUGGGGAAGAAGCAGAGUGAACUGUCACCUUCAACUCCUCACCUUAUCCGCCGUCCAUGACUCCUGUGUAUCCUCACCCUCCC
RNAcentral lists this small RNA (1654 nucleotides) under Pongo abelii (Sumatran orangutan). RNAcentral's name for it is "retained intron". Lineage: Eukaryota; Metazoa; Chordata; Mammalia; Primates; Hominidae. The record is from RNAcentral.